Molecule: transfer RNA, 73 nt
Filed under: Stegodyphus mimosarum
Lineage: Eukaryota; Metazoa; Arthropoda; Arachnida; Araneae; Eresidae
Rfam family: tRNA
About the family: Transfer RNA (tRNA) molecules are approximately 80 nucleotides in length.
Source: Rfam by way of RNAcentral
GCCUUCGGGAUGUAAUUGGAAGCAUACUCGGCUCGUAUUCGAGAGGACCAGAGUUCGAGUCCUGGCGAGGGCA